This is a non-coding RNA of Physcomitrium patens, 1815 nucleotides long. The record is from RefSeq and is a predicted model, not a curated record. Lineage: Eukaryota; Viridiplantae; Streptophyta; Bryopsida; Funariales; Funariaceae.
AAUGCCUUUUUCGCCUAACUUUCACUUUCUAAGAUACCCUCUGAAAGUUUUCAAAUAUCUUCUUAAAAAUGAUAUAUGUGUGCUUUACUAUAUUAAAUUUUAAGGCACUUUGCAAAGUUGUGAAUGUCGACACAAAUCUCUUCACAGUUGGAAUGGAGAAGAGGGAAGAGCCUUCAUUCCUCAGGGCUUAUCAAAGUGCUUGAAGACGGCCUGCAGCUGCUUCAGGACAAAAAUGAGGUCCUUCAGACACCUUCUUGGAGAACAAUUAGGGUUGGUCUUUUUGUUGAUUAGGUUUCCGUGGAUUCAAAACAUUGUUGCUGGGACGAAGGAUGAUUAUUGUAAACAUUGAUUGCUCAGGGGUUGUGAGCUCUACAUCUCGUGUGGCGUCCGCGGUCGCAUCUGGCCAGAUUGAUAUGCAUUUGUGACUCACGUAGAAGUAUUUGGGCUAAAACUUCUCGUCGGUAUUGAAAUAGUUGUGGCUUUGGCUCGUAUUGGUCACCUAGGGAUUUGUGAGUGUGCUGCGUUGUGGAUACUAGGAACUGGAAGAAUAUGAGUUUGGCUGAUGGAAUUGUAUUAUCACGAUUAUGCUUUCAUGGUUGGAGAUUUCGAGCGAAAGGAUCGAGUCCUAAUGGUGUGCAUCAGAGCUGAGAAUGUAAACAUUGCGGCUUGUCACAGCAAAUCUAUACCUAUGUAUUUGAAAGCUUUGAAGUGAAGCUCCGAAAUGUAGUUGAAAAACAUCUGAGUCGGUGUUAACGUAACAUGCAGCGGGGAGCAAAUCAUCUGGAGAAUUCUUCAACUUCGAAACAAGAAUCACAGAGCAAGGCUGGAAGAUUCACGGAACGAGGCGAGGACUUUACUGUCUCAACUUUAAGGGAUAUCCUAUGCAAAUGCAAAUGUGGUCUGGAAAUAAUUUACCAUGAUCAUUUCAUAGAGGUACGCAUAGAUUUUUUGCUGAGAUGUGGAGCAAAAAGGUCUUUGGUACACUUGCAGAACGUAGAGUUCGGGCUCUAAAAACGUCAGCUGCAGGAUUUGAACCUGCGCGGGGCAACCCCAGUAGAUUUCGAGUCUACCGCCUUAACCACUCGGCCAAACUGACGUACGACCAUGCUGGGGAUCGAACCCAGAGUCUCUUGCUCCGUAGGCAAGCGCCUUAUCCAUUGGGCCACACGGUCUCGAGCCCCAUAUCUGGUCCAUACGUUUUACCAUAAUACAUUAUAGCUAUUUACUUCCACAACCUCUUGGUUAUCGAACACACACGUCAAACAGUUAUUAUUUCGAUCAUGAACAACUUGUUUGACCAGAUGGUCUGUUGCACUCGGUGAGGUCAUGGUCUCCUUCAACAGCCAAUGGUGCACUGUAUUCUGCUACUUAAUUUUCUGGUGCACAACGUGAGUGAGCCGGGAUGGUGACGACACUGUGAAGUUGGUUUCUUUUGGAGUUUGAGUCAUACCUGUAGUCGGCUGUAAUGAAAAGGAUCUAAAUGAACAGAGCGGUCGUGGUUACAAGGGUGGGGGGGGCAACCUCAGGGGAAAAGAUGCUGCUAAGCAUUCAGAAGACAAUUGCAGGAAUUUUAGUUACAUCUCCAAGGAUAGUAUAUGAAGGAGCAAAUCAGUAUAGAUCUUGCAAGGAUUCUUCAGCCGAAUUACAGAACGGCAAAGGGAGAUGGUACUGUAGAGUCAAUGCUACAUUGGGUUAUAAAUGCAACGUGACAAGCUCGGAAUAAUUCCUACACAACAAACACCGUAUUUACACCCAUAUGAAUACAUUUCUUCAGCUUAUCAAAGAUUUGUCAGUACCGAAAAGGAGUUUCUGUUU